AAUCAACGCUGGCGGCGUGCCUCAGACAUGCAAGUCGAACGAUUAAGACUUCCUUCGGGAAGUGCAUAAAGUGGCGCACGGGUGAGUAACACGUAAGUAAUCUACCCUCGAGUGGGGAAUAACGUUCGGAAACGAACGCUAAUACCGCAUAACGCAGCGGCACCGCAAGGUGACAGUUGUUAAAGGAGUAAUUCGCUUGAGGAGGAGCUUGCGGCAGAUUAGCUAGUUGGUAAGGUAACGGCUUACCAAGGCUACGAUCUGUAUCCGGUCUAAGAGGACGGUCGGACACACUGACACUGAAUAACGGGUCAGACUCCUACGGGAGGCAGCAGUCGGGAAUUUUGGGCAAUGGGCGAAAGCCUGACCCAGCAACGCCGCGUGAAGGAUGAAGUAUUUCGGUAUGUAAACUUCGAAAGAAUGGGAAGAAUAAAUGACGGUACCAUUUAUAAGCUCCGGCUAACUACGUGCCAGCCGCCGCCGUAA
This 483-nucleotide ribosomal RNA is filed under the name uncultured bacterium. RNAcentral describes it as "partial 16S ribosomal RNA". It matches the Rfam family "Bacterial small subunit ribosomal RNA", at positions 32 to 523 of the family's 1533-position model. The record is from RNAcentral.